Molecule: unclassified non-coding RNA, 522 nt
Filed under: Hevea brasiliensis (rubber tree)
Lineage: Eukaryota; Viridiplantae; Streptophyta; Magnoliopsida; Malpighiales; Euphorbiaceae
Source: RNAcentral
AAAUGCAACAUAAAUGACUGAUUUGGGUGGUUGUUGGUCUAGCCAUUUCAUGCAAGUUGAAAUUGGUAUAAUCUCUGAGGUCAAUGUGAAUGGCAAUGCUCCAGGCUCAAGAUCAUAUGCUGAGUUACAAAUUUUCCGGUCUGCCAUUUUCGUAAUCUUGAUGGUUUUAAACGCAUUGCUGGAGUCAACUGAAUCAUUUGGUUCUUCAGCGAGUUCCUUAACAGAGUGAAAAUUUAUAAAGAACUGCACGUCUUCCCAGUGAACUUUUAAUCCUACUUUACAAUGUCUAAUGUGGGAAUGCCAAAAUAUGCUGUGUUUAGUUAAUCAUCGGAAUGCGUUCAUUUAUCACUUCCAAGAAUCCUAUUUUGCACACCAUUUGUUUGAGUAAUGUACGGUGAAUAAUUUGUGGAUCAUUUUUGUAAGUUAUCCCAAAAAACAUCAAGGUUAUUUCUGUUUGUCUCUCUUGUAAUGCAUAUGGUGCAGGCCUGCAGGGUUGCAAACUCAGGCUUACCCUUCCCUUGG